RNAcentral lists this ribosomal RNA (516 nucleotides) under uncultured bacterium. Its description in RNAcentral is "partial 16S ribosomal RNA". It matches the Rfam family "Bacterial small subunit ribosomal RNA", at positions 28 to 523 of the family's 1533-position model. The record is from RNAcentral.
GACGAACGCUGGCGGCGUGCCUAACACAUGCAAGUCGAACAGAGUGUUUAUUUAUAAACACUUAGUGGCGAACGGGUGAGUAACGCGUAGACAACCUACCCUCUAGAUGGGGACAACACCGCGAAAGUGGUGCUAAUACCGAAUGUUGUAAUGUUGUUGCAUAAUGAUAUUACUAAAGGUGGCCUCUAUAUAAAAGCUACCGCUAGAAGAUGGGUCUGCGUCUGAUUAGCUAGUUGGUGAGAUAACAGCUCACCAAGGCAAUGAUUAGUAGCCGGUCUGAGAGGAUGAACGGCCACACUGGGACUGAGACACGGCCCAGACUCCUACGGGAGGCAGCAGUGGGGAAUCUUCCGCAAUGGACGAAAGUCUGACGGAGCGACGCCGCGUGAGUGAAGAAGGUUUUCGGAUCGUAAAGCUCUGUCUUCAAGGACGAAUGUAGAUAUUGUGAAUAAUGAUAUUUAAUGACGGUACUUGAGGAGGAAGCCACGGCUAACUACGUGCCAGCAGCCGCCGUAA